GACGAACGCUGGCGGCGUGCUUAACACAUGCAAGUCGAACGGGAAGGCCCUGCUUUUGUGGGGUGCUCGAGUGGCGAACGGGUGAGUAACACGUGAGCAACCUGCCCUUGACUUUGGGAUAACUUCAGGAAACUGGGGCUAAUACCGGAUAGGAGCUCCUGCUGCAUGGUGGGGGUUGGAAAGUUUCGGCGGUUGGGGAUGGACUCGCGGCUUAUCAGCUUGUUGGUGGGGUAGUGGCUUACCAAGGCUUUGACGGGUAGCCGGCCUGAGAGGGUGACCGGCCCAUUGGGACUGAGAUACGGCCCAGACUCCUACGGGAGGCAGCAGUGGGGAAUAUUGCACAAUGGGCGGAAGCCUGAUGCAGCAACGCCGCGUGCGGGAUGACGGCCUUCGGGUUGUAAACCGCUUUCGCCUGUGACGAAGCGUGAGUGACGGUAAUGGGUAAAGAAGCACCGGCUAACUACGUG
Molecule: ribosomal RNA, 467 nt
Filed under: uncultured bacterium
Lineage: Bacteria
Description: partial 16S ribosomal RNA
Rfam family: Bacterial small subunit ribosomal RNA
Source: RNAcentral